AUGAACGCUGGCGGCGUGCCUAAUACAUGCAAGUCGAGCGAACAGACGAGGAGCUUGCUCCUCUGACGUUAGCGGCGGACGGGUGAGUAACACGUGGAUAACCUACCUAUAAGACUGGGAUAACUUCGGGAAACCGGAGCUAAUACCGGAUAAUAUAUUGAACCGCAUGGUUCAAUAGUGAAAGACGGUUUUGCUGUCACUUAUAGAUGGAUCCGCGCCGCAUUAGCUAGUUGGUAAGGUAACGGCUUACCAAGGCAACGAUGCGUAGCCGACCUGAGAGGGUGAUCGGCCACACUGGAACUGAGACACGGUCCAGACUCCUACGGGAGGCAGCAGUAGGGAAUCUUCCGCAAUGGGCGAAAGCCUGACGGAGCAACGCCGCGUGAGUGAUGAAGGUCUUCGGAUCGUAAAACUCUGUUAUGAGGGAAGAACAAAUGUGUAAGUAACUAUGCACGUCUGGACGGUACCUAAUCAGAAAGCCACGGCUAACUACGG
This 495-nucleotide ribosomal RNA is filed under the name uncultured bacterium. RNAcentral describes it as "partial 16S ribosomal RNA". It matches the Rfam family "Bacterial small subunit ribosomal RNA", at positions 29 to 506 of the family's 1533-position model. The record is from RNAcentral.